GACGGAGGGUGCAAGCGUUACUCGGAAUCACUGGGCGUAAAGGGUACGUAGGCGGCCCGUUUAGCUGGAUGUGAAAUCCCACGGCUUAACCGUGGAACUGCGUCCAGAACUGGCGGGCUUGAGAACGGUAGGGGACAGUGGAACUCAAGGUGGAGCGGUGAAAUGCGUAGAGAUCUUGAGGAACACCGGUGGCGAAAGCGACUGUCUGGGCCGUUUCUGACGCUGAGGUACGAAAGCCAGGGUAGCGAACGGG
Molecule: ribosomal RNA, 253 nt
Filed under: uncultured bacterium
Lineage: Bacteria
Description: partial 16S ribosomal RNA
Rfam family: Bacterial small subunit ribosomal RNA
Source: RNAcentral